GAUCAACGCUGGCGGCGUGCCUAACACAUGCAAGUCGAACGAGAAAGGGUGGGUGUAGCAAUACAUUCGCCUGAGUAAAGUGGCGACCGGGUGAGUAGCACGUGGCCAACCUACCCUCGAGCGGGGGAGUAACCUGGGGAACGUCGGCUAAUACCGCAUAACGUCCCGAUGGCACAAGCCAAUGGGACCAAAGGCCCGCAAGGGUCACUUGGGGAGGGGCGUGGCGCCGAUUAGCUAGAUGGNGAGGUAACGGCCCACCAUGGCUUUGAUCGGUAGCCGGCUGAGAGGGCGCACGGUCACACUGGCAC
Molecule: ribosomal RNA, 308 nt
Filed under: uncultured bacterium
Lineage: Bacteria
Description: bacterial SSU rRNA
Rfam family: Bacterial small subunit ribosomal RNA
Source: RNAcentral